RNAcentral lists this ribosomal RNA (387 nucleotides) under uncultured bacterium. Its description in RNAcentral is "partial 16S ribosomal RNA". It matches the Rfam family "Bacterial small subunit ribosomal RNA", at positions 523 to 908 of the family's 1533-position model. The record is from RNAcentral.
AUACGUAGGGGGCGAGCGUUGUCCGGAAUGAUUGGGCGUAAAGGGCGCGUAGGCGGCCCGGUAAGUCUGGAGUGAAAGUCCUGUUUUUAAGAUGGGAAUUGCUUUGGAUACUGUCGGGCUUGAGUGCAGGAGAGGUAAGUGGAAUUCCCAGUGUAGCGGUGAAAUGCGUAGAGAUUGGGAGGAACACCAGUGGCGAAGGCGACUUACUGGACUGUAACUGACGCUGAGGCGCGAAAGCGUGGGGAGCGAACAGGAUUAGAUACCCUGGUAGUCCACGCGGUAAACGAUGAAUGCUAGGUGUUGCGGGUAUCGACCCCUGCAGUGCCGGAGUAAACACAAUAAGCAUUCCGCCUGGGGAGUACGGCCGCAAGGCUUAAACUCAAAGGA